Molecule: long non-coding RNA, 1095 nt
Organism: Mangifera indica (mango)
Lineage: Eukaryota; Viridiplantae; Streptophyta; Magnoliopsida; Sapindales; Anacardiaceae
Exons: 2
Source: RefSeq, a predicted model, not a curated record
CGACUUCUUGCGACUAGAGUCUUAAAGUCAUCUUCUUCUUGCGACUUGCUGUCGUUGCGCCUCAGACUCUCUCCGCCUCCUAUCAUUCACGCUCCUCGAUGCCGCCUCCUCCAGUUCUCCCGUUCGCCAGCUGCAACUUCGAACCAUUGGCUGUUUUUUGCGUCACUUCAGUUCUUCGUAGCAUUCUGGUUUCUUUGUUUCACAUCUUCAGCAACUUUUAGCGAUUCUCUAGCAAACUUCUAGUGUCAACAAAUUUGAGAUGGUUCAUGGUUCAGUUUUCCUCUCAACAGUUAUGAUGUCUCCAUCGCUAAGGUAUAUAAUAAUUAGUGAGGAAGAGUCCAGCAUUUUAUUCUACACUAUCCUAAGAGAAGCAUAAUGCGAAAUUCAUGACAUUAUCCAUCAACACAGAUUAAAGUUUACGUUUGAGAAAGUUCAGUUAUAAUAUUUUUGUAGAAGCAAUUUGACUUCUUCCUUAAUUUAUUGUUAUGACUAAUCAUCAGAUUAAAGAAUCAGUCAGCUUCAACUGCUCUAACCAGUGCAAUAAACAAAACUUUGAGACGGGUAGAUCUGGACAGUUGAUACAGAAAGUAGCUACCCAAGUUGUUCUUGAUCCUACUGUCUAUAAAGCCAUUAAUUUUGCUAACAAUGUCUUCACUCUAAGUAGGAAAAACUAAAAAUGUUCAGUGCGAGGGAACUUACUCGAUUUGCUUGGGUUUUGGUGAUUUAUUCGAUGCUGACAUUGGUGGCAAUCUCUGAAGGAGCAACAUUUUCAGAUGCAACAGCUCCAUCUCCAAGGUCCCUCUCGCCGGGACCGUCUCCGACAAAGAAAGCAAGUGCAGGAAGCCCUGCAUAUGCCUGCAACACCAUUGUUUUCCUUUGUAGCCUCAUUGUCACCAUGCUGGCUCCGUUUCUUUAGAAAAUUAGGAAAAUAUGAAUGAUAUGCUUGUUCCUUGUUUUAUUUUUAAUUGUGUGUAAAAUGGAGAGAUGUGGAGUAGCUUUAUUCAUGGGGUGCCAUGGCUGCUUUACCAUCAGUCUUUCCGUAUCAGAAUAAGUUACUUGUAAAUAAUGGAUGAUCAAUCAUCUGUCUUGUCUGCA